RNAcentral lists this long non-coding RNA (605 nucleotides) under Homo sapiens (human). RNAcentral's name for it is "HSALNT0152318". Lineage: Eukaryota; Metazoa; Chordata; Mammalia; Primates; Hominidae. The record is from RNAcentral.
GGUUUCUGGAGUUGGCUGCUUAAUAUGACUAUGCUAAAGACCCUAUUUCUUUUUUUUCUUUUUCUUUUCUUUUUUUUUAGAUGGAGUCUUGCUCUGUCACCCAGACUGGGUACAGUGGCACGAUCUCGGCUCACUACAAACUCCACCUCCUGGGUUCAAGAGAUUCUCCUACCUCAGCCUCCCGAGUAGCUGGGACUACAGGCUCAACACUGCCAAGGAACAUAAUGGAAGCUGCCAAGGCUUAGGGCUUCCAUCCUCUGAACCCACAGCCUGGGCUGUACGUUGGCUCCUUUCAACAACUACUGGAGCAGCUGGGACACAGGACACCAAGUCCCUAGGUUGCACACAGCAUGGGGACCCUGGACCCAUCCACAAAACCACUUUUUUAUCCUGGGCCUCCACACCUGUGAUGGGAGGGGCUGCCAUGAAGUUCUCUGAUAUGGCCUGGAGACAUUUUCCCCAUGGUCUUGGGAAUUAACAUUAGGCUCCUUGCUGCUUAUGCAAAUUUCUGCAGCGAGCUUGAAUUUCUCCCCCAGAAAAUGGAUUUUUCUUUUCUAUCACAUAGUCAGGCUGCAAAUUUUCCAAACUUUUAUGCUCUGCUUCCC